This is a non-coding RNA of Ornithorhynchus anatinus (platypus), 138 nucleotides long. Lineage: Eukaryota; Metazoa; Chordata; Mammalia; Monotremata; Ornithorhynchidae. The record is from Rfam.
AGCCUCUCAGCGUCGCACCUGGAGAGUUCCCAGUACUCUAACAGUCUCGACUAUGGGAGGGAAAGUCAAGCAGAGGCCUCCUCAUUCCAUUCUGAGCUUGAACGGGUGCUAGCGAGUGGAAGACAAUCUGCUACAUGU